This 417-nucleotide ribosomal RNA is filed under the name uncultured microorganism. Its description in RNAcentral is "bacterial SSU rRNA". It matches the Rfam family "Bacterial small subunit ribosomal RNA", at positions 9 to 422 of the family's 1533-position model. The record is from RNAcentral.
GAGUUUGAUCUUGGCUCAGAUUGAACGCUGGCGGCAUGCCUUACACAUGCAAGUCGAACGGCAGCAUGAUCUAGCUUGCUAGAUUGAUGGCGAGUGGCGAACGGGUGAGUAAUACAUCGGAACGUGCCCUGUAGUGGGGGAUAACUAGUCGAAAGAUUAGCUAAUACCGCAUACGACCUGAGGGUGAAAGUGGGGGACCGCAAGGCCUCAUGCUAUAGGAGCGGCCGAUGUCUGAUUAGCUAGUUGGUGGGGUAAAGGCCCACCAAGGCGACGAUCAGUAGCUGGUCUGAGAGGACGAUCAGCCACACUGGGACUGAGACACGGCCCAGACUCCUACGGGAGGCAGCAGUGGGGAAUUUUGGACAAUGGGCGAAAGCCUGAUCCAGCAAUGCCGCGUGUGUGAAGAAGGCCUCGGUG